This 422-nucleotide ribosomal RNA is filed under the name uncultured eukaryote. Its description in RNAcentral is "SSU rRNA". It matches the Rfam family "Eukaryotic small subunit ribosomal RNA", at positions 592 to 1018 of the family's 1831-position model. The record is from RNAcentral.
CAAUAGCGUAUAUUAAAGUUGUUGCAGUUAAAACGCUCGUAGUCGGAUUUCGGGGCGGCUUCGCCGGUCUGCCGAUGGGUAUGCACUGGCGAGGGCGUCCUUCCUUCCGGAGACUGGCCCUACUCUUAACUGAGCGGGGUCGGGAGUCGGAUCGUUUACUUUGAAAAAAUCAGAGUGUUUCAAGCAGGCAUAUCGUUCUUGCAUGGAUUAGCAUGGGAUAAUGAAAUAGGACUUUGGUGCUAUUUUGUUGGUUUCGAACACCGAAGUAAUGAUUAACAGGGACAGUCAGGGGCACUCGUAUUCCGCCGAGAGAGGUGAAAUUCUCAGACCAGCGGAAGACGAACUACUGCGAAAGCAUUUGCCAGGGAUGUUUUCACUGAUCAAGAACGAAAGUUAGGGGAUCGAAGACGAUCAGAUACCGU